AUACGGAGGGUGCGAGCGUUAUCCGGAUUUAUUAGGUUUAAAGGGUGUGUAGGCGGGAGCCUAAGUCAGUGGUGAAAUCUCACAGCUUAACUGUGAAACUGCCAUUGAAACUGGGUUUCUUGAGUAUAGUUGAGGUAGGCGGAAUGUGUAAUGUAGCGGUGAAAUGCAUAGAUAUUACACAGAACACCGAUUGCGAAGGCAGCUUACUAAGCUAUUACUGACGCUGUUGCACGAAAGCGUGGGUAGCGAACAGGAUUAGAAACCCUAGUAGUCC
RNAcentral lists this ribosomal RNA (274 nucleotides) under uncultured bacterium. RNAcentral's name for it is "partial 16S ribosomal RNA". It matches the Rfam family "Bacterial small subunit ribosomal RNA", at positions 523 to 796 of the family's 1533-position model. The record is from RNAcentral.